RNAcentral lists this ribosomal RNA (1939 nucleotides) under Bifidobacterium longum. RNAcentral's name for it is "partial 23S ribosomal RNA". It matches the Rfam family "Bacterial large subunit ribosomal RNA", at positions 1025 to 2925 of the family's 2925-position model. Lineage: Bacteria; Bacillati; Actinomycetota; Actinomycetes; Bifidobacteriales; Bifidobacteriaceae. The record is from RNAcentral.
ACCCAGACCGCCAGCUAAGGUCCCAAAGUCAUGGUUAAGUGGGAAACGAUGUGGGAAGGCCCAGACAGCCAGGAUGUUGGCUUAGAAGCAGCCAUCAUUUAAAGAAAGCGUAAUAGCUCACUGGUCGAGUCGGCCUGCGCGGAAGAUGUAACGGGGCUAAACCAUGCACCGAAGCUGCGGCAGCGACGCUGAUGCGUUGUUGGGUAGGGGAGCGUUCUGUAAGCCUGCGAAGGUGUGCUGUGAGGCAUGCUGGAGGUAUCAGAAGUGCGAAUGCUGACAUAAGUAACGAUAAAGCGGGUGAAAAGCCCGCUCGCCGGAAGACCAAGGGUUCCUGUCCAACGUUAAUCGGGGCAGGGUGAGUCGACCCCUAAGGCGAGGCCGAAAGGCGUAGUCGAUGGGAAACAGGUUAAUAUUCCUGUACUUGGUGUUACUGCGAAGGGGGGACGGAGAAGGCUAUGUUGGCCGGGCGACGGUUGUCCCGGUUUAAGCGUGUAGGCUGGUUUUCCAGGCAAAUCCGGAAAAUCAAGGCUGAGGCGUGAUGACGAGGCACUACGGUGCUGAAGCAACAAAUGCCCUGCUUCCAGGAAAAGCCUCUAAGCAUCAGGUAACAUCAAAUCGUACCCCAAACCGACACAGGUGGUCAGGUAGAGAAUACCAAGGCGCUUGAGAGAACUCGGGUGAAGGAACUAGGCAAAAUGGUGCCGUAACUUCGGGAGAAGGCACGCUGAUAUGUAGGUGAAGUCCCUUGCGGAUGGAGCUGAAAUCAGUCGAAGAUACCAGCUGGCUGCAACUGUUUAUUAAAAACACAGCACUGUGCAAACACGAAAGUGGACGUAUACGGUGUGACGCCUGCCCGGUGCCGGAAGGUUAAUUGAUGGGGUCAGCGCAAGCGAAGCUCUUGAUCGAAGCCCCGGUAAACGGCGGCCGUAACUAUAACGGUCCUAAGGUAGCGAAAUUCCUUGUCGGGUAAGUUCCGACCUGCACGAAUGGCGUAAUGAUGGCCAGGCUGUCUCCACCCGAGACUCAGUGAAAUUGAACUCGCUGUGAAGAUGCAGUGUACCCGCGGCAAGACGGAAAGACCCCGUGAACCUUUACUAUAGCUUGACACUGAACAUUGAGCCUUGAUGUGUAGGAUAGGUGGGAGGCUUGGAAGUGUGGACGCCAGUCUGCAUGGAGCCGACCUUGAAAUACCACCCUUUAAUGUUUGAUGUUCUAACGUUGACCCGUAAUCCGGGUUGCGGACAGUGUCUGGUGGGUAGUUUGACUGGGGCGGUCUCCUCCUAAAGAGUAACGGAGGAGCACGAAGGUUGGCUAAUCCUGGUCGGACAUCAGGAGGUUAGUGCAAUGGCAUAAGCCAGCUUGACUGCGAGCGUGACGGCGCGAGCAGGUGCGAAAGCAGGUCAUAGUGAUCCGGUGGUUCUGAAUGGAAGGGCCAUCGCUCAACGGAUAAAAGGUACUCCGGGGAUAACAGGCUGAUACCGCCCAAGAGUUCAUAUCGACGGCGGUGUUUGGCACCUCGAUGUCGGCUCAUCACAUCCUGGGGCUGAAGUAGGUCCCAAGGGUAUGGCUGUUCGCCAUUUAAAGUGGUACGCGAGCUGGGUUUAGAACGUCGUGAGACAGUGCGGUCCCUAGCUGCCGUGGGCGCUGGAGAACUGAGGGGGGCUGCUCCUAGUACGAGAGGACCGGAGUGGACGCAUCACUGGUGUUCGGGUUGUCAUGCCAAUGGCACUGCCCGGUAGCUAAAUGCGGAAGAGAUAAGUGCUGAAAGCAUCUAAGCACGAAACUUGCCCCGAGAUGAGUUCUCCCUGACCCUUUAAGGGUCCUGAAGGAACGUUGAAGACGACGACGUUGAUAGGCCGGGUGUGUAAGCGCAGCGAUGCGUUGAGCUAACCGGUACUAAUGAACCGUGAGGCUUAACCUUACAACGCCGAAGGUGUUU